UACGAGGGGUGCAAGCGUUGCUCGGAAUUAUUGGGCGUAAAGGGUAGGUAGGUGGUCUCAUUUGUCCGGGGUGAAAGCCUUGAGCUUAACUCAAGAAGUGCCUCGGAAACGGUGAGACUAGAGUCUUGGAGAGGGUCGUGGAAUUCCCGGUGUAGCGGUGAAAUGCGUAGAGAUCGGGAGGAACACCUGUGGCGAAAGCGGCGCACUGGACCACAUCUGACGCUGAGGCGCGAAAGCUAGGGGAGCAAACAGG
This 253-nucleotide ribosomal RNA is filed under the name uncultured bacterium. RNAcentral describes it as "partial 16S ribosomal RNA". It matches the Rfam family "Bacterial small subunit ribosomal RNA", at positions 524 to 776 of the family's 1533-position model. The record is from RNAcentral.